RNAcentral lists this long non-coding RNA (309 nucleotides) under Androctonus crassicauda. The record is from RNAcentral. Lineage: Eukaryota; Metazoa; Arthropoda; Arachnida; Scorpiones; Buthidae.
CAGAAUAAGGCAGAAAAAGAGUCAAUGAAGAGAAGUUGUAAAGUUUAUGAUGAACUCCUUAGGCGAGACACCACACUCUCUUGGACAGAUUUCUUUAGUUGUGUAUUUUCUUCCUAUUCAACUGUCUCUGUUGUUUCGCCAUCUUUUUGAUCAACCAACUCCUAGAUUUCAUGUUUUACCACUGCUGUUGUCACCUUUUGCUGCCCUGCCAAAUAAUUCUCACAUGUAUAUUUAUACCAGCUCUGGUGACUCAACCUUCCACCUCCGUCAGUGAAAAAUGAGAUCAAUAUUUAGGACAUUUAUCUGAAC